Molecule: unclassified non-coding RNA, 337 nt
Filed under: Crepidotus crocophyllus
Lineage: Eukaryota; Fungi; Basidiomycota; Agaricomycetes; Agaricales; Crepidotaceae
Description: partial internal transcribed spacer region
Rfam family: Eukaryotic small subunit ribosomal RNA (bases 1-46)
Source: RNAcentral
AAGUCGUAACAAGGUUUCCGUAGGUGAACCUGCGGAAGGAUCAUUAAUGGAAUAAACCUGGUGGACUGUCGCUGGCUCUUGAGAGCAUGUGCACGUCUGUCAUCUUUAUCUUUCCACCUGUGCACCUUUUGUAGACCUGGAUGCUUAAUAUAUCAAUCUGAGGUCAACUCAGGCGUGAGGACUGUCGGCGUCGCAAGAUAUCGGCUUUCCUUGUAGCAUUCCAGGGACUAUGUUUUUCAUACACACUUUAAAAAUCUAAUAGAAUGUCGUUUUAAAAAGGUCUUUGUACCUAUAUAAAACAAAUAUACAACUUUCAGCAACGGAUCUCUUGGCUCUC